UAUUUUUCUUGCGUUGCCUAGCAGCAAGCUAGCGGCACGCCAGACGCGCGUGCAUACGUCAUGCGCCAGACAAGCCGCAGGAGCGAGCAAGGCCGGCUGCGCAUGCGAAGCUCGAGUGCUCGGCGACCCGUCUGUUUUGGACGUAGCCCGUUUUUUGGGGCUCCCGGCGUUCUUUUGUGUUCCGUCUGCAUUUCGACACGGCACCGCUGCACUACUGGACUACAGCAAGCUGAUUGCAUCCGGUGGAGCUUCGUACGGCAACGACUGCUGCUUACCUGGUGCCACAACUUUGGAUGAAUGCAGAAUCUCGGAACGAGCAUUUAUAUAGAGCAAAACAAACAGUUCAUCAUUUCAGAA
RNAcentral lists this long non-coding RNA (357 nucleotides) under Dermacentor andersoni. RNAcentral describes it as "uncharacterized LOC126545238". The record is from RNAcentral. Lineage: Eukaryota; Metazoa; Arthropoda; Arachnida; Ixodida; Ixodidae.